This 29-nucleotide non-coding RNA is filed under the name Mus musculus (house mouse). The record is from RNAcentral. Lineage: Eukaryota; Metazoa; Chordata; Mammalia; Rodentia; Muridae.
UACCUUUAAAAGAUAAAAUUGUGAGAGGA